AGCAGUAUGAAGGUCAGGCUGAAGACUUACCCGAUUAGCUGAGAGGUGGUGCAUGGCCGUCGUCAGUUCGUACUGUGAAGCAUCCUGUUAAGUCAGGCAACGAGCGAGACCCACGUCCACAGUUGCCAGCAUACCCUCCGGGGUGAUGGGUACACUGUGGAGACCGCCGCUGCUAAAGCGGAGGAAGGAGUGGGCAACGGUAGGUCAGUAUGCCCCGAAUCUCCCGGGCUACACGCGGGCUACAAUGGUUGGUACAAUGGGCAUCUACCCCGAAAGGGGAAGGAAAUCUCUUAAAGCCAAUCGUAGUUCGGAUUGAGGGCUGCAACUCGCCCUCAUGAAGCUGGAAUCCGUAGUAAUCGCGUUUCAACAGAACGCGGUGAAUACGUCCCUGCUCCUU
This 397-nucleotide ribosomal RNA is filed under the name uncultured Methanosaeta sp. RNAcentral describes it as "bacterial SSU rRNA". It matches the Rfam family "Archaeal small subunit ribosomal RNA", at positions 941 to 1338 of the family's 1478-position model. Lineage: Archaea; Methanobacteriati; Methanobacteriota; Methanomicrobia; Methanotrichales; Methanotrichaceae. The record is from RNAcentral.